RNAcentral lists this ribosomal RNA (482 nucleotides) under Hydrolycus scomberoides (payara). RNAcentral's name for it is "partial 16S large subunit ribosomal RNA". It matches the Rfam family "Bacterial large subunit ribosomal RNA", at positions 1955 to 2591 of the family's 2925-position model. The record is from RNAcentral. Lineage: Eukaryota; Metazoa; Chordata; Actinopteri; Characiformes; Characidae.
GGUAACGCAAUCACUUGUCUUUUAAAUGGAGACCUGUAUGAAUGGUGGAACGAGGGCUUAACUGUCUCCCUCCCCCAGUCAAUGAAAUUGAUCUACCCGUGCAGAAGCGGGUAUUUACCUAUAAGACGAGAAGACCCUUUGGAGCUUAAGACAAAAGACCAACUGCACCAAGAACCCAAAUAAAAUGGCACCAAAUAAAAGCAACAACUGGCCCGCGUCUUCGGUUGGGGCGACCGUGGGGCACAACAAAACCCCCAUGCGGAAUGGGAAAACUCCUAAAACCAAGAGAGACAUCUCUAAGCCACAGAACAUCUGACCAUAAAGAUCCGGCAACAGCCGAUCAACGGACCAAGUUACCCUAGGGAUAACAGCGCAAUCCCCUUCGAAAGUCCAUAUCGACAAGGGGGUUUACGACCUCGAUGUUGGAUCAGGACAUCCUAACGGUGCAGCCGCUGUUAAGGGUUCGUUUGUUCAACGAUUAA